Molecule: ribosomal RNA, 343 nt
Filed under: uncultured bacterium
Lineage: Bacteria
Description: partial 16S ribosomal RNA
Rfam family: Bacterial small subunit ribosomal RNA
Source: RNAcentral
CCUACGGGUGGCUGCAGUGGGGAAUAUUGGGCAAUGGGCGCAAGCCUGACCCAGCAACGCCGCGUGAAGGAAGAAGGCUUUCGGGUUGUAAACUUCUUUUCUCAGGGACGAACAAAUCGCCGUUACCUGAGGAUUAAGCGACGCCCAACUACUGGCCAGCAGCCGCGUUAAUACGUAGGGGGCAAUCGUUCUCCGGUUUUAUUGGGUGUACAGGGCGUGUAGGCGGGAUGGCAAGCCAGUUGUGAAAACGCAGGGCCCAACCCUGGGCCUGCUUUUGAAACUGGGUUUCUUGAGUGCUGGAGAGGCAAUCGGAAUUCCGGGUGUAGCGGUGAAAUGCGUAGAU